CCUCCUGCCACUUCCUGUGGGGAGGCUGGAAUACUGCAUACACUACCACAAGGUUCCAAGAAUGGGAACAAUUUGCAUAGAUCCAGGAUGGCUAACCCCCAAGUGGGGCUCAGAGCAACUGAGAUUCACAGUGUGAGGUCCAGGCUGCUUCCAGCCAAGCUAGACCUGCCUUCUCUUCCAGGAACCAAAUAAGCACUAAAAUUCUGCCCAAGAUGUUUCUGAACUUCCCUCUUUUUCCCUUGGCAUUUCAUCCUAUUCAACAAGCCCUGUCCUUCGAUUCUGGUGCCUAAUCUUCCUUUCCUCCCAAGGAUUUAGGGAUAUUCAAAAAUAUGUUUUCCAUCAAGUAUCUAAGGAGUCAGAAUGUACCUUUCCUUGUGUAGCACUUCUCACACCAAUAAAAUGGGUUAGUGGAUUUGUCCCCUUGGUGAAAAAGCAGGAGUGAUGACCGAAACCCUUGACAGCACAUAAAGCAUGGUGCUCAGCCACCCAGAUGGACGCUGGCCAGUAUGUGAGAUCAGCACAGACUGCAGAAUGUCGCCGCAUCAUGAAUGAGGACACUGCCCGGUGACCAGUCUCCAGGUUGGAAGAUUCCUCCCUUGUCCCUGCCUUUCCUAAAAAAAGAAACCAGCUCAUUGCAGCCUGAGGCUCUUUCUUUUAGAGGAUUCCUCCUUUCCUCUUCUGGAAGUUCGAGCGAUAGUCUUUUUAAGACUCAGAUAUACCUUUGACUCUGCUCUGCCUGCCUGUGCCCUGGGACCUGACCUCCAUGGCCUGCAUCUCUUGGGCUUUCUUGUCCUCUGGCUUCCAUUUGUCUUCAAUGGAUGUACCAGCAGGAAACCAGAGAUCCAGAGGAGAGAGCAGUUAGAAUGUUUACUCUGAUGGCUGCAGAUUUGGCAGUGGCUGCAUUCCUCAAUCUAUGGCCACAUCUCCUGGUGGGUGGCCUCUUUCCCAUGACGAUGGGCUCACUGGCUUCCACUAACACUGCUCCCUCCCCUUGUCCCUUUGUGCCUAGGGGAGGGGAAGUCUUCUCACUCUUGCUAAUUCCUGAGUACUUAACCAUUUAUUGUUGAGUCCAUUAAUCCUGCCAGCACCUGUGUCAACAGUCUUUCCAUUAAACUCGCUUCAGU
This 1124-nucleotide long non-coding RNA is filed under the name Equus asinus (donkey). Its description in RNAcentral is "lncRNA (ENSEASG00005027586.1)". Lineage: Eukaryota; Metazoa; Chordata; Mammalia; Perissodactyla; Equidae. The record is from RNAcentral.